RNAcentral lists this ribosomal RNA (30 nucleotides) under Acanthinula aculeata. RNAcentral's name for it is "partial 5.8S ribosomal RNA". Lineage: Eukaryota; Metazoa; Mollusca; Gastropoda; Stylommatophora; Valloniidae. The record is from RNAcentral.
AACUUUGAGCGGGGGGAUCACUCGGCUCGG